This is a non-coding RNA of Pelobates cultripes (western spadefoot toad), 400 nucleotides long. Lineage: Eukaryota; Metazoa; Chordata; Amphibia; Anura; Pelobatidae. The record is from the annotation of a GenBank genome assembly.
CUAAGAACAUAGCUGAACUUUUGGCCUUAUCCUUAAUACAGGAUAGGGCAUUCUUUCAACCAGAUGGGGAUAUUUGUACAGCAGCCACUUGGACUUCUUUGUAGAUCUUUGCACACUUUCACAGACUUCCUCAGAAUUCUCCUUUGAUAGAAACAUUCUAACUGGUUCAUAAAUAAAUGAAAUUUUUUGCAGUAAAUCAUGUUUCCCAGCCUUUUUUUUUAGCUUGGAUAUUGCCCAAUGGUAAUGAUGCCAUGGUUACCCAGGAAAAUAGAUUUUUUUUCUACUGAUCAUAAUUUUCUUUUCCUGACUAUUUUCCAUGGCAACAUCACUCUCCCUUCCAUCUGGGGAUUUUUAGCUUUUUAAUAGUCCGGGGAACGCUACGAGUAGAGGGUAACUUAUA